CCUGGCAAGGUCGCCAUGAAGGGAGUU
Molecule: small RNA, 27 nt
Filed under: Bombyx mori (domestic silkworm)
Lineage: Eukaryota; Metazoa; Arthropoda; Insecta; Lepidoptera; Bombycidae
Description: ovarian small RNA-14073
Source: RNAcentral